ACGGUAACCGGAGAAGAAGCCCCGGCUAACUUCGUGCCAGCAGCCGCGGUAAUACGAAGGGGGCUAGCGUUGUUCGGAAUUACUGGGCGUAAAGCGCACGUAGGCGGGUAUUUAAGUCAGGGGUGAAAUCCCGGAGCUCAACUCCGGAACUGCCUUUGAUACUGGGUACCUAGAGUAUGGAAGAGGUAAGUGGAAUUCCGAGUGUAGAGGUGAAAUUCGUAGAUAUUCGGAGGAACACCAGUGGCGAAGGCGGCUUACUGGUCCAUUACUGACGCUGAGGUGCGAAAGCGUGGGGAGCAAACAGGAUUAGAUACCCUG
Molecule: ribosomal RNA, 318 nt
Filed under: Shinella zoogloeoides
Lineage: Bacteria; Pseudomonadati; Pseudomonadota; Alphaproteobacteria; Hyphomicrobiales; Rhizobiaceae
Description: bacterial SSU rRNA
Rfam family: Bacterial small subunit ribosomal RNA
Source: RNAcentral